RNAcentral lists this ribosomal RNA (774 nucleotides) under uncultured Neocallimastigales. Its description in RNAcentral is "partial large subunit ribosomal RNA". It matches the Rfam family "Eukaryotic large subunit ribosomal RNA", at positions 20 to 616 of the family's 3401-position model. The record is from RNAcentral. Lineage: Eukaryota; Fungi; Neocallimastigomycota; Neocallimastigomycetes; Neocallimastigales.
UACUAGAGUAGCACUCGCAUAUCAAUAAGCGGAGGAAAAGAAACUAACAAGGAUUCCCCUAGUAACGGCGAGUGAAGCGGGAAGAGCUCAAAUUUGAAAUCUUAAAGGGUUUCCCUUUACGAAUUGUAGUUUAAAGAAGUGUUUUCUGUUGAGGUUUUGGUAAAAGUUCUUUGGAAUAGGACAUCAUAGAGGGUGAGAAUCCCGUAUUUGACCUUUACUUUCAACUUUGUGAUACACUUUCAAAGAGUCGGAUUGUUUGGGAAUGCAGUCCAAAAUGGGUGGUAAAUUUCAUCUAAAGCUAGAUAUUGGCGAGAGACCGAUAGCGAACAAGUACCGUGAGGGAAAGAUGAAAAGAACUUUGAAAAGAGAGUUAAACAGUACGUGAAAUUGUCAAAAGGGAAGCGUUUGACACCAGUGUUGUUUUUCUGAAAAUCAAUUAAAGAACUGUUUAUGCUAAGUUGUUUAGACUUUAUCAGCUAUCUGUUUAGUUUUGAGCUUUUCUUUAAUGCACUUUUCAGUUAGCAAGUCAACAUCAAUUUCUUUUGCUGUAAAAAAGCUUGAGGAAGGUGGCUUGAGAUUCGUCUUAAGUGUUUAUAGCCUCUUGCCUAUGCAGUCGGAGAGAUUGAGGUCUGCAGCGUAGAUCCUUCGGGGCUAAAUGCAUUUGUGCUAAGUUAUAGCAUUUUAUAGACAACUUGUUGACUAUGAUUUGUCUUGUAGCUUACUCGCUUAUGUUAUUUUACCUACGCUUAGGAUGUUGAGCGCAUGUCUCUCUCU